Molecule: long non-coding RNA, 1756 nt
Filed under: Betta splendens (Siamese fighting fish)
Lineage: Eukaryota; Metazoa; Chordata; Actinopteri; Anabantiformes; Osphronemidae
Description: lncRNA (ENSBSLG00000023200.1)
Source: RNAcentral
GCUUUACUGUCAUAUUGGAGAUACUGGAGAUAUGGUGAAACACAGGACAAGUGUGCGAUCUACGAAACAUAGAGUAUGUGUUCGUCGGAGGACCAUUGGUGGUGCUACCAAAGUUUCUGUUUUGAGAAACGUUUCACAUCCACCUGUAACUGUGGAUGUUACACCUGUCACCACCACAUCAUCUCUGGAUGAACAUUCAGAGGCAGAACCAAGCAGCAGUUUGCAUGUCCGAGACUGCUUACACAAAAGCAAAGAAGAAGGAGCUCAGGGCCUGGGACUCAUUGAAAGAGGAUAUGCUGCGGGUAUCUUAUGAGUCAUCAGCACCAUCUACAAAUAUCUGUGCUCUCUGCAAAGAGCAUGCAGAGUAUAGGUGCCUUGAGUGCAGCAGUACUAAUAUGUUUUGUGAGACCUGUAUCACAAAAACCCACCGCAAUUCCUUGCACCUACCAGAGAAAUGGAAUAAAACAUUGUAUGUGACAUCUCCGCUUGAAUUAGCACUACGCUUACCAGGAGAACAUUGUUCUCAUGCUGUGUACGCAAGAGAUAUGAAAAUAUUUGUGAACACAGGCCAGCUGUGCAGCUUCAGCGUGACUCUUUGUACAUGUGAACCAGAAACUUGCACCCUGCUCAGAUAUGGAAUCUGGCCUGCGACACCAGAGAGGCCUCAAACAGCGUUCUCUAUAGCUCUUUUGGAGCUUUUUCAUUAUCUGUCCAUGGAAUGCCAGGUGUCUGUUGAGGGAUUCUGCAAUAUGUUGCGGUGGAAAAACAAUCUGUCUCUUUUAGAGGUUAACAUGCUCUACAGAGCUCUGGUGGGAGAAUCUAUAUCCCAGUUUCGCCACCACCACUUUAGAUGCAGAAGUUUAUCUGGUCUUUGUCCCUCAUUUGAUGAUGGAACAACAUGCCCAGUAUGUCCUAAGAGUAACGGCAAUCUGAUUGUAACAAUGGAUGCCAACUUUGGCCUUGUUCGAAAAAGAAGUUCAGGAAGUAGUUUGGUGGAGCCGUUGCAUGGUAACAGAAUGUUUGUGAGGGAAGAAGAUGUGCAAGAAUACCUGUCAUCCCAUCCUGAUGGUUCCAAGCCAAAUGAAAAAAAAGCAGAAGCAAUGCAACAAGGCGUAUCUCUGGCUGUUCCAGCAUUCAUGUUUUUUGGUCAUAAAUUACAGUGUCAGGUUCUGUACAGUACGAGAAGAUUAAAAGGCUUUGGGCUAACAGAUGGAGAAGGUAUGGAGAGGUUAUGGUCCUUCCUUAGAAGAUUUGCUCGUAUCACAAAGAGAUGAGUCCAUCCCACCGGCUUGACCUCUUGACUGAAGCACUUCUUUAUUAUGGGAGGAGAAAAACAGCGGAUAUAGAAGUGCAGCUCCAUCACAGAUGGGAAAAAGCAGAGAAGGUCACUAAUCUAGCUAAAGAGGAGUUAGCUGCUGUCUUAAAAGAGGCACCAGACAGUGUUCCCAAAUGGAAGAGGGUGUAUGUGACAACGCUGAUUGAGCUCCAGCACCUCAAAUCAUGUGAUCAUGAUUCAGCUGUUGCAGAUGAGAAAAAGAUUGAAUCUUGUCUUCAAAAAAUUGAAAGACAGUACCAUAUAACAAGAAGAUGGAAUCAGUCAGAUUCGAUAUUCCAGUCAACACUGUUAGAGCUCGACCAGGACAUUCGAGGUAAACUGGUCAUGCAGGCACGAACUGAGGCAAGGGGAAAGACUUACACUUCUUCACUUGAAGCGGAAAUACCCAGAUGGACAGGGAAUUGCUGUCAGAUUGUCUAA